GCUGGGCGUGGUGGCUCACGCCUGUAAUCCCAGCACUUUGAGAGGCUGAGGUGGGUGGAUCACUUGAGGUCAGGAGUUCAAGACCGGCCUGACCAACAUAGUGAAACCCCAUCUCUA
Homo sapiens (human) is the source of this 117-nucleotide non-coding RNA. It matches the Rfam family "Metazoan signal recognition particle RNA". From Rfam's summary of the family: The signal recognition particle (SRP) is a universally conserved ribonucleoprotein. Lineage: Eukaryota; Metazoa; Chordata; Mammalia; Primates; Hominidae. The record is from Rfam.